RNAcentral lists this small RNA (451 nucleotides) under Rattus norvegicus (Norway rat). RNAcentral describes it as "uncharacterized LOC108349392". Lineage: Eukaryota; Metazoa; Chordata; Mammalia; Rodentia; Muridae. The record is from RNAcentral.
GGGAAUAUCUUGCCUUCCAGCCCUCCAGCCCAUGGAGGAAGGCCCUGCAAUGACAGAGCCCCUGGGGAAAGAAUGCCAGGUGCAUCCAGGAACUGGCAGACACAGAGCUCCUGAUGGUCCCAGGGCUUCACUUAGCAUGGUUCCUGUUGCUAAGCAAUGGAAGUGCUGGACCUGUCAUCUAUCAUCUGCUGUCCAGCACUCCAGGGAUGCCCUGUGAAGUUCAAAUCUUCCAUGAACCAUCUCUCUCCCAAAGGCGUCUGGUCCACAGAAGGAAGCCAGGUCUCCCGGAUGACUGCAUCGUUGUUCCAUGGAGCUUUUAAAAUGCAAGUGUCCUGAAUGGCAGUGGUGCCAGGUGACAGCUGUGGGCACACCUCAUCCUGAAGCGCUGUAGGAACUGACACCAGUGAAUGCCAGAUAUGGGGAAAGGUGAGACUGGCUAGGUGGCUGCAAU